GGACAAUUCGAACAGUUCGGACAUUGUGUGAAUCAGAGGUGGAGGAUCUAGGACCUCUGAUUGUCAGGGGAUUCUGCAAAUGCAAACUUAAACAACUGCAACAAGAUGGGGCCCUCCGAGAGGCAGAUUCCCAGCUUGCAGGAAGUAGUUUGUUUCUCCCAUCGCUCUGGGGGAAGGGGAGCGGAAAAGUCAGCAUCGGACCUGUUCUCCACACACCCUCAUUCCACAGCAUCUGGCCUCUCUUUCGAUUUUAUUACACAAGAAUAACAAUAAAGCAGGUCUGCGACCCCGUCUAUGGAAUUUGCCGUAUUUUUUCCAACGGUCUGUGCUGAUGCUCCGAAUUUCCAUUUUCUGCAUGCAUAUUUAAUUGAGUUUUGUCCCAGUGGUGCGGAAAUGAUUUGUUUUUUGCUCUCUGUUCACUUGACUCCUCUUCGGAGUCGGUAACCCUGAUUAAGACGUUCACGUUAAUUUCCCAGCGCACACCUUUUUUUGUGCAUUAAUGGUUCUGAUCGUCUAAUUAAAACUUCUCAGCUUCGCUGCUGAUCACCGCUCGUUGUG
Sinocyclocheilus grahami is the source of this 558-nucleotide long non-coding RNA. RefSeq lists it as uncharacterized. The transcript is spliced from 4 exons. Lineage: Eukaryota; Metazoa; Chordata; Actinopteri; Cypriniformes; Cyprinidae. The record is from RefSeq and is a predicted model, not a curated record.